GACUGCAAUUUUUGGUCGCUGAA
RNAcentral lists this non-coding RNA (23 nucleotides) under Arabidopsis thaliana (thale cress). Lineage: Eukaryota; Viridiplantae; Streptophyta; Magnoliopsida; Brassicales; Brassicaceae. The record is from RNAcentral.